This 770-nucleotide ribosomal RNA is filed under the name Agrococcus sp. RNAcentral's name for it is "bacterial SSU rRNA". It matches the Rfam family "Bacterial small subunit ribosomal RNA", at positions 43 to 824 of the family's 1533-position model. Lineage: Bacteria; Bacillati; Actinomycetota; Actinomycetes; Micrococcales; Microbacteriaceae. The record is from RNAcentral.
CGUGCUUAACACAUGCAAGUCGAACGAUGAAGGAGGAGCUUGCUCCUCUGGAUUAGUGGCGAACGGGUGAGUAACACGUGAGCAAUCUGCCCCUGACUCUGGGAUAAGCGCUGGAAACGGCGUCUAAUACCGGAUACGAGCCGAGCAGGCAUCUGCAGCGGCUGGAAAGAACUUCGGUCAGGGAUGAGCUCGCGGCCUAUCAGCUAGUUGGUGAGGUAAUGGCUCACCAAGGCGACGACGGGUAGCCGGCCUGAGAGGGUGACCGGCCACACUGGGACUGAGACACGGCCCAGACUCCUACGGGAGGCAGCAGUGGGGAAUAUUGCACAAUGGGCGAAAGCCUGAUGCAGCAACGCCGCGUGAGGGACGAAGGCCUUCGGGUUGUAAACCUCUUUUAGCAGGGAAGAAGCGAAAGUGACGGUACCUGCAGAAAAAGCACCGGCUAACUACGUGCCAGCAGCCGCGGUAAUACGUAGGGUGCGAGCGUUAUCCGGAAUUAUUGGGCGUAAAGAGCUCGUAGGCGGUCUGUCGCGUCUGCUGUGAAAUCCCGAGGCUCAACCUCGGGCUUGCAGUGGGUACGGGCAGACUAGAGUGCGGUAGGGGAGAUUGGAAUUCCUGGUGUAGCGGUGGAAUGCGCAGAUAUCAGGAGGAACACCGAUGGCGAAGGCAGAUCUCUGGGCCGUUACUGACGCUGAGGAGCGAAAGCGUGGGGAGCAAACAGGCUUAGAUACCCUGGUAGUCCACGCCGUAAACGUUGGGAACUAGAUGUG